CCCUUAUUAAAGAAGGGCCCUUUGUGGAAAUCAGGAUUUGGAAAAUACAUCCUCACUCAGCCAUAAAGAAAUAAGGUCAGGAUCUGAUGGGUGAACCAAGUGAGGACAUUUCUGAGCCUGUUCCAGGUCCAUCUGGAAUAGAUUCAUCACAACGUGUGAGCAGCUCUGUUCAGUUUAGGAUACUCAUCUUCUCUUCUUCACAAAAUGUUGUCACGUAUCAUAACCUUCAUCUCAUCUGCAGAGAGAAACUGCCACUCAGAAUACACACAUAAAUGAAGGACGUAAAGACAUAAUGGGAUUGUGAAGAUUUUUAACUGGAACUUGGUCUUCAUUGCUGUAUCGUGUUCAAUAUCAAUUGUUAUUUAUUCAUGUAUUGAGCUAACUUCUGUUGUAAGAGCACUGUCAUUUUUGAUACAAUCUGCCAUGUCAAUAAAAAGUAAGCAAAAUAUCCAUAUUUAAAACUUCAUCGAAUAAAAUGACAAGCUUCCGGCAGGCGGCCUAAGCAAGUCGACUUAC
Pimephales promelas (fathead minnow) is the source of this 516-nucleotide long non-coding RNA. RefSeq lists it as uncharacterized. Lineage: Eukaryota; Metazoa; Chordata; Actinopteri; Cypriniformes; Leuciscidae. The record is from RefSeq and is a predicted model, not a curated record.